AAGCCAAUUCUUUCGGCUAGACUUAAUGCAUUUGGUGGAUUAUUUAUAAUCUAUCCAUCUGUUAUCAAAUGUUGUUAUCUUUUGUCAAUUACUCGAUAUGGUUUUCAAAAGAAGAUUGAGUAUGAUAAACAAAUGUUUUGUCGUCUUACGACAGGCAUGUGAGGUUGACACAAAUUAAACGUACAUAUGUUUAAUGAAUGUAGUGUUGAUCAACAUAGAGUACUAUAGGCUGAUCACCUAGAAGUGCUCGUAAGUAAUACCGGACUUACGAACUUAGUGUCGGGUUGUCCUUUUCAAAGAAAGAAUGAAAUACUCAAGGUCUUGGACCGAAGUUUAUGUUUUACUGGAUAUUAUUCAUUGUAAAACAAUUUGAAAGACAGAUGAAGUGCUAUUUUGAACUAUCAAUAGUACUUCAUAACUAUUGUUCAGUUAUUGAAGAUAUACGAUUCUUAUGUGUCAAGCAUGUUGUUAUUGAAUUGUCAUACUUGCUGAGCUAGUUAUGCUCACUCUUGCUUGAACCACAUGAAUGCAGCUAAGACUAAACGUCCCGAAGGAUCGAAUAAGGAUAAAGGAAAGGCUAAGGAAGAUCGUUAAUCGGUCUAUGUAAUAGUAUAGGUUUAUUGUUGUAAUUGUUGUAAUGUAUUUUGAUAUUAUGAUAAAGAACCUUUGUAAUGGGUAUAGAACCUGGAAAAUGUAAAUAUUACUUUGAAUAUAUAGACGUCAUGUUCGUUAUUUUGAGGCUUUUCAAUUGAAUGAAUGGUAGUACCGUAUUGCACCAUAUGUCGGGUUGGAAGAUACCCGGAUUUGGGGGCGUUACAGGUUGGUAUCAAAGCAUAGGUUAUAAAACUUAAGGGGGAAAUUAGAACCUUAAGUCAUAACCUUAAGAAAAGUCAAAGAAGUAAAAGAUGGAAAGUAACCCUAUAAAAAUGCAUUAUAAUUAUGUUAUGUAUUUUUAUUAUUUUACUGACGUGUACUAAUCAAACUAUAUUGUUUUGUCGUGGAUGUCAGGAGAAAAUGAAAUGUAUAGAGAUAUACAUGUAGUAAGCGAGGAUUCGGUAAAUCGGGUAGAGAUACUACCAAAUCCCAUACAGUAGAACCAGAAGUGGUGGUAAUCGAGUCUAGAGACUUGGACAACUUAGACUACAUGUCUGUAUUUGAUGGCAUGCUAGAGGAAGAGGUGGAUAUGAUGUCUUUUGACCAGAUAGCACCUAUAGAAGAGUUGACUAUGGGGGAGUCAAUGAAGGCACUAUUCAUGUUAGUAUUGGAUCGAAACGUCCAAUAUUUUAUGGAGGUUAAGGAGUUAAAAGAGGAACUCCAAGCUGUCCGGGAGGACAAGACUAGUAUGGAGGGUAUGUGGGAAGAGGAGCAUGAUGAUAGAAUUUUAGUCAAGGACAAGGUCCACGAGCUGAAAUGCGAAGUC
RNAcentral lists this long non-coding RNA (1420 nucleotides) under Panax ginseng (ginseng). RNAcentral's name for it is "long non-coding RNA (PGIN_LNC002662)". Lineage: Eukaryota; Viridiplantae; Streptophyta; Magnoliopsida; Apiales; Araliaceae. The record is from RNAcentral.